UACAGAGGGUGCGAGCGUUGUUCGGAAUUAUUGGGCGUAAAGGGCGCGUAGGCGGCGCCACAAGUCACCUGUGAAAACUCUGGGCUCAACCCAGAGCCUGCAGGCGAAACUGUGGUGCUGGAGUAUGGCAGAGGGGGGUGGAAUUCCGCGUGUAGCAGUGAAAUGCGUAGAGAUGCGGAGGAACACCGAUGGCGAAGACAGCCCCCUGGGCUGACACUGACGCUCAGGCACGAAAGCGUGGGGAGCAAACAGG
RNAcentral lists this ribosomal RNA (253 nucleotides) under uncultured bacterium. Its description in RNAcentral is "partial 16S ribosomal RNA". It matches the Rfam family "Bacterial small subunit ribosomal RNA", at positions 524 to 776 of the family's 1533-position model. The record is from RNAcentral.